UCUGAUGGUUAGCGGCGGACGGGUGAGUAACACGUAGGCAACCUGCCCUCAAGCUUGGGACAACUACCGGAAACGGUAGCUAAUACCGAAUACUUGCUUCCUUCGCCUGAAGGGAGCUGGAAAGACGGAGCAAUCUGUCACUUGAGGAUGGGCCUGCGGCGCAUUAGCUAGUUGGUGAGGUAACGGCUCACCAAGGCGACGAUGCGUAGCCGACCUGAGAGGGUGAUCGGCCACACUGGGACUGAGACACGGCCCAGACUCCUACGGGAGGCAGCAGUAGGGAAUCUUCCGCAAUGGGCGAAAGCCUGACGGAGCAAUGCCGCGUGAGUGAUGAAGGUUUUCGGAUCGUAAAGCUCUGUUGCCAGGGAAGAACGUCCUUGAGAGUAACUGCUUAAGGAGUGACGGUACCUGAGAAGAAAGCCCCGGCUAACUACGUGCCAGCAGCCGCGGUAAUACGUAGGGGGCAAGCGUUGUCCGGAAUUAUUGGGCGUAAAGCGCGCGCAGGCGGUCAUUUAAGUCUGGUGUUUAAUCCCGGGGCUCAACCCCGGAUCGCACUGGAAACUGGAUGACUUGAGUGCAGAAGAGGAGAGUGGAAUUCCACGUGUAGCGGUGAAAUGCGUAGAGAUGUGGAGGAACACCAGUGGCGAAGGCGACUCUCUGGGCUGUAACUGACGCUGAGG
RNAcentral lists this ribosomal RNA (680 nucleotides) under Paenibacillus illinoisensis. RNAcentral describes it as "bacterial SSU rRNA". It matches the Rfam family "Bacterial small subunit ribosomal RNA", at positions 84 to 751 of the family's 1533-position model. Lineage: Bacteria; Bacillati; Bacillota; Bacilli; Caryophanales; Paenibacillaceae. The record is from RNAcentral. RNAcentral also lists the same sequence under 1 other name.